UACGAAGGGGGCUAGCGUUGCUCGGAAUUACUGGGCGUAAAGCGCACGUAGGCGGAUUGUUAAGUCGGGGGUGAAAUCCUGGAGCUCAACUCCAGAACUGCCCUCGAUACUGGCGAUCUCGAGUUCGGGAGAGGUGAGUGGAACUGCGAGUGUAGAGGUGAAAUUCGUAGAUAUUCGCAAGAACACCAGUGGCGAAGGCGGCUCACUGGCCCGAUACUGACGCUGAGGUGCGAAAGCGUGGGGAGCAAACAGG
This 253-nucleotide ribosomal RNA is filed under the name uncultured bacterium. Its description in RNAcentral is "partial 16S ribosomal RNA". It matches the Rfam family "Bacterial small subunit ribosomal RNA", at positions 524 to 776 of the family's 1533-position model. The record is from RNAcentral.